This is a long non-coding RNA of Homo sapiens (human), 748 nucleotides long. RefSeq lists it as uncharacterized. The transcript has 2 exons. Lineage: Eukaryota; Metazoa; Chordata; Mammalia; Primates; Hominidae. The record is from RefSeq and is a predicted model, not a curated record.
GGACCCCGCCCCCGGAGCCCGCCCAACCGCCGGUGCAGGCCCGCUCCGUCCUUGCCCAGGCUCCCUCGCGGGCUGUGCGUCGCGUUCAGAGCUGCCGCUGGUUGAUUUCACGGUGCUUUCCACCAGCAAGAAUUGGGGGUGGUGCCGGGCUUUGGCUUCGGCCAGCGGACUUGGGUUCCCUGGCCGCCCCAGCUACCCGUCUUCACGUUUCCAUCUGUUCUCAGCUGGGGGGUACGGGGGAAGAUGGCUGGAAGGCCCCCUGCCCCUGACUCCCACUUCCCAGCCUCUCUGACUGCGGGCUCCUUGGCCUAGCAAGGUGCAGAACACCUGCCACCUGCACCUGAGAGCCCUCCCACUCCAAAGACCUUCCGCACCAAGACCUCGUUUCUGGCAGUCAUGUCUCCUCUGAAAUAGGUGGCAGUUCACUUUCACAAUUUUUAAACUGGUCAGAGACACGGCCGCAAGCCCCUCCUGUCCACAUGCCCAGAGUUUAGAGACACCAAGGUCUCAGCAUCACCUAGAACCUCUGAGAAGUCAUCUCUUGAUCCCCUUGACACCAGGACUUCAGAGAUGCCCGGUUUCAAAAGAAGACAAGCAAGGGGGAUUCCUCAGUCAACACCCAUUUUCCCCUCUCUCCCUUGCCCACCGAAAGUGAUUUAUAAGCACAGCAGAAAUCAAAACAAACAAGCCAUGCUUGGAAAACGAGGAUCCACAUGUGUAAAUAAACGGGAACUACAGCUCAAAGGCA